AGUGGGCAUAAAUAAAGAUCCUCAUUUCAAUAUCAGCUUGUAGAAAUAUCAAUUUUACUGAUGUCCUUCAUUACAUGUACAUAUAACCAAAGUGUGUCAAUAGAGAGCAGUCGUCACACCUUCUCCUACCAGAGUAAAGGCUACCAGUACACGUCAGCGCUCUCCUGGAGUGCGUACGGUUGCGGACAUUUGGAAAAUUUGGUCUCCGGCAGAUGCAGGUGGACUGUCACUACUUGCAGGUGUACCUGUGGAAGUUUGUAUCAGAUGAGCAGCUGGUGAGGAUGCUCCUGGAGCAGGUGAUGGCCAGCACCAUUGAGCGCUGUGUUGAAUACACCCUCAUGGAACAAAGUGUGGUUGAGCAGAUAUGGAGAUAAUCAUUGCCUGCCUUAUAUUACUUUGUGAACAUAAUUAUAGCUUAGUGAAAUUGUUUUAGUGAAAUUGUUGCCAUA
Long non-coding RNA from Halichondria panicea, 449 nucleotides. RefSeq lists it as uncharacterized. Lineage: Eukaryota; Metazoa; Porifera; Demospongiae; Suberitida; Halichondriidae. The record is from RefSeq and is a predicted model, not a curated record. The transcript is spliced from 3 exons.